UGAGGAAUAUUGGUCAAUGGACGAGAGUCUGAACCAGCCAAGUAGCGUGCAGGAUGACGGCCCUAUGGGUUGUAAACUGCUUUGGUUUGGGAAUAAUCGACAUUACGUGUAAUGUUUUGCAUGUACCAUUCGAAUAAGGACCGGCUAAUUCCGUGCCAGCAGCCGCGGUAAUACGGAAGGUCCAGGCGUUAUGCGGAUUUAUUGGGUUUAAAGGGAGCGUAGGCCGUUUGGUAAGCGUGUUGUGAAAUGUAGGAGCUCAACUUCUAGAUUGCAGCGCGAACUGUCAGACUUGAGUGCGCACAACGUAGGCGGAAUUCCUGGUGUAGCGGUGAAAUGCUUAGAUAUCAUGAAGAACUCCGAUUGCGAAGGCAGCUUACGGGAGCGCAACUGACGCUGAAGCUCGAAGGUGCGGGUAUCGAACAGG
RNAcentral lists this ribosomal RNA (424 nucleotides) under Verrucomicrobiota bacterium. RNAcentral describes it as "Verrucomicrobia bacterium partial 16S ribosomal RNA". It matches the Rfam family "Bacterial small subunit ribosomal RNA", at positions 355 to 776 of the family's 1533-position model. The record is from RNAcentral. Lineage: Bacteria; Pseudomonadati; Verrucomicrobiota.